Long non-coding RNA from Phyllopteryx taeniolatus (common seadragon), 560 nucleotides. RefSeq lists it as uncharacterized. The record is from RefSeq and is a predicted model, not a curated record. Lineage: Eukaryota; Metazoa; Chordata; Actinopteri; Syngnathiformes; Syngnathidae. The transcript is spliced from 4 exons.
GCUGAGAUUAAGCAGAGCAAGCUAGCUGGUGCUCCAGAAAACAGCAACCCUUCUCCAACAGUGUCCUGAGCAACCUGAACCUUCUCAUUUCUGCAUUAUUCUAUAGAUUUCUUGUUUGUUUGUUUUUUUUUACUUUGUUGGCCUGCGCUAUCAACAAUGAGCUGGACGGUGAAGACUUUCGUGCUGCUGUGCUUGUGGCAGCUUCAGGAAGGAGCACAAGCCUGCAGCUGUUUUCCAAGGCAUCCACAGGAGGCGUUUUGUCAAGCAGAAGUCGUCAUAAAGGCGACGGUUGUUGGGAAGGCUGACGUUGUCUUAAAUACUGGUGAGAAAAUGCCUGGUAUCUUCAAUCCUGGUGUCUCAAAUGUUAUCAAGUAUGACAUCAAACAGACUGAGGCAUUCAAGGGCCCAGAAAAGCUUUUUGGUUCGUCUACACUGCAAGCAACUCUGCAGCGUGUGGAGUCAAUCUGGCCAAUGGCACAGAGUAUCUAAUAUCAGGCAGACUGGACAACAAUGCUUUGCUGGAUGUCUCCUUGUGUGACUUCUUUAUGCGGUGGGAGGAC